GCGCUUGACUCCCCCGCCGCCCCUUCCCGUCCCCACCCCGACGCCGUCCGCUCCCCAUCCACCAUCCCAGCGCGAUGGCUGGGAGGACCGCGCCCGCCUCCCUCCCCUCCUUCUCCCUCACGCCCGACUCCCUCGCUGCCCCUUUAUCCUGGAUCUCGUCAUGGACGCUACCACGACCAACGGUUCGACGGAGCAGGCGCCGCACUCUGCGCCACGGGACGGAGCCCGUCCCCACCCGACACCGGCCACCUCCACCCCGAGCUCCUCCGAGAAGUGAGUGAUUUCCAUUUCUUCGAUUGGAUGACGCGCGGUCGGGCCUCCGCACCUCUCUGUCCCCCUCCCCUCCCGCGGCGACAGCUUCCUCUAGGAGAUGAGCGCGCCCGCCCCCGCGCGCACCACCACCACCACGCGUCCACGCCCCUCGUGCACCUUCUCGCCCGAGUCUGGUAACGGUGCAAAGGCAAAUGGGGCAUCAUCACAUAUCUAGGUCGUAUUUUCGACAGACAGAUGUAAAACGGAGUGGGAAUGCCUCGAUUGAUAUCAUGUCCAAGUUCUUCAAGCUGAUGGUGGUUCUACAAUUAAUGAAUGAUUUGAACGAAGUGUUCAAGAUGCCGCUAUCUCUUGUAUUGAGGGGCUUCCAGUGCGCUUUUUCCCCUCGAUCUCGUGUGAUCUGAGUGUGAGAAGGCUUAUAGUGUGCUUGAGGUUCUUCGACCUCUCUAUAAUUCCCCUAAGAUACUGGAACAAAAGGUAACUGUUGCGAUAUAUGUCAAUCUUCAAUUUCGUUGUCGCUUAGCAGUUGUUGGGCUUUGGUACCCAGUCUGUAAUUUUGCUGAUGCACCAGCGACACAUAUUUAUCAUUUUUUAUUUUUAAAUCAAUAACAAAGCACAGGUACAAUAUAAUCUUAUAUAGCUUUUAAGGUAUGUAAACAUCCACUUUAGUGAUGCUAACAAAUGUAUAAAAUAAUAAUAAUUAUUUUUUCAUAGCAAUAUAUUUUAUCAUAUUGCAUCUUAGUUCAUGCUACCUGGAUGUAAAUGUGGUGCGGUUUAGUUUAAUAAGAUCUUCACUAAUCACUACAUAGUGCAGCACUGGGCUGUUAAUAUUUUUUGUACCAUGUGUCAUAAGCAUGAGAUGUUGCCUGUAGAGUACCAAUGCUUUAUUGCAGUCUUCCUCCUCGUCUGCCCCAAUGUCGGCAAGUCAGCCCUCUUCAACAGGUGAGAGACACCUUAGGAAGGCAUCGGUCAUUGCCUCUCGCCUGUAGUUUCUAUGCCGCUAUGAGGGGUGGUGGCAUUUCCUCAAAUACGUUGCAUGUAUCACUGUAACUGUUCUUCCCCUUCCGUUACCAUUAACCCAUGCAUCUAAUUACUUGUAUAUUUUACGUUACCGUUUUCCUGUUCUCAACAUUUCAGAUUCUAGAUGAUGGUACGACAAAUUAUUUUAGGAGCGCUUUGACAUAAUUUAAAGCUUGGAAGGGAGCUUUCUAUGAUUUAUUUUUCUGAUUGUUUCGUCACAUGUUCUUUCCCUAGAUGAAAGUAUUGAUUUAUUUUUGGUUCUGCAGGAUCAUUGCGUCUCUGCGAGCUAAUCAGUUCUGUGAGCGUCUCCCUAGCCCCAAUGGCGAGUCAACUGUUGAUUGUCAUCAGAUCUCAAAGAUGCCAAAUCUUGCAUUCACCAUUGCAAACAAGACUUUCACCUUAACACCAGAGCAGUACAUAGUGAAGUUGGAGCAAGCAGGACAAACUAUCUGCAUCAAUGGGUUUAUGGCAUUUGACGUACCGCCUCCUCGUGGUCCUCUCUGCUACGCUAAACAUAUCUGUACUACUCUUAAGUGUGCAAUGAGGGCGUCCACCGAGGGCAUCACCGUGCCCCCGCUCGCCCCCUCCACGCCCGCGCCUGUCUGCAUCCGCCCCCUUCGUCUCCCCGCAAUGGCCGCGUCCCUACCUCAUGUCUACGACGACAACUAGCAUCGCCACAAGAGUUUGUUCUGGUGCUCACAUUGGUAAGUGUGGAACUUUCACCACAGGUUAAACAUGAAGAAGUCAUCGGGCUCGGGCUCGGUGUCGUUGGCGCGGAGCAUCCCGGAGCUGUACGAGGAGAGGGGAGCCAGCAACCUCCGGGAGUUCGGGUUCCAGGAGCUCCGGGCCGCCACCAGCGACUUCAGCCGCCUGCUCAAGGUCGGCGAGGUGGCUUCGGGAGCGUUUACAAGGGCGUCGUCCGCCUUCCUGGCGGGCCCGCCGGCGGCACGGUAGUUGCCAUAAAAAACUCAAUCCCAAUGGUCAUCAGAAGUUCAAGGUUAUCUCAUUCUGGCAUAUCUCAUUUGCCUGCUGAUGAAGUGAAGCCUUUGGUUAAAUAUGAUAAUGAUGAAGAUGCACACUCACCUGGUGGCCGUGGAAGGGGUCGUGGUGGUCGAGGCCGUGGGCGGGGCAGGGGCAGAGGUGGACGUGGAAAUGGGUUCAAUGAGUAUGCUGAUGCUGGUUGGGAAGACGAUCACGCCCCUGCAUAUAUGGGCAAUGGAUAUGCCCGCGGAAGAGGUCGCAGUUUCAGGGGCCGUGGUAGGAGAGGCGACGACGAUAACCAGCCUGAAUACCAACAUGUCGGAGGUUAUUUCAAGAAGAUCCAAUUGAACCAAAAAGUGGAAUAAAAUUUCCAACAUUUCUGGAAGACGACUCCAGUCCAUCUGCAGCGGUCCUUGUUGGGAUAGGUUUCAAAGGCAUGAGAGUGAUGAGGGUCAAAAAUCUGAACCUCUACGCUUUUGGUUUAUAUAUGCAACCAACUUCUAUCCGUGAGAAGUUGGGUCCUAAGUAUGCUUCAUUUCCAACUGACAAGCUGAUGGAGAACCCUGAUUUCUAUAGUAAUCUUCUCAGGAAAUGGGUUCAAUGAGUAUGAUGAUGCUGGUUGGGAAGACGAUCACUCCCCUGCAUAUAUGGGCAAUGGAUAUGCCCGUGGAAGAGGUCGCAGUUUCAGGGGCCGUGGUAGGAGAGGCGGCGACAAUAACCAGCCUGAAUACCAACAGGUCGGAGGUUAUUACGAGUGUUCAUGCUCCAGCUUUAGGUGGGUAACCUCACAGGACACAAAUGAAGUGUACAAAAUAUUUUCAAACAAAAUUAAGCAAGGCCUGAAGAUAAUCUGAAGAGCUUUGUACAGGCGAUUUUUGAUCAUUGUUGAUCCUGAUUCCUGAUUCUUUUAUUUUUUUCAACAACAGAUUUUCACCAUUUGUAAUGGAACUGAAACCAGCCUCUCAUCGAAGUGGAAACCUUUUUUUAGUCGUAAACAUUUACAUGGUUUAUCCAGUGGUAUGCUGAUGAAAGAUGCUAAGUUUCGCUUAAUAUAAUGUAUAUGAAGGUCCUGUGUA
Molecule: RNA transcript, 3347 nt
Organism: Zea mays
Lineage: Eukaryota; Viridiplantae; Streptophyta; Magnoliopsida; Poales; Poaceae
Exons: 15
Source: RefSeq, a predicted model, not a curated record